UACGUAGGUCCCGAGCGUUAUCCGGAUUUAUUGGGCGUAAAGCGAGCGCAGGUGGUUUAUUAAGUCUGGUGUAAAAGGCAGUGGCUCAACCAUUGUAUGCAUUGGAAACUGGUAGACUUGAGUGCAGGAGAGGAGAGUGGAAUUCCAUGUGUAGCGGUGAAAUGCGUAGAUAUAUGGAGGAACACCGGUGGCGAAAGCGGCUCUCUGGUCUGUAACUGACGCUGAGGUUCGAAAGCGUGGGUAGCAAACAGG
Molecule: ribosomal RNA, 252 nt
Filed under: uncultured bacterium
Lineage: Bacteria
Description: partial 16S ribosomal RNA
Rfam family: Bacterial small subunit ribosomal RNA
Source: RNAcentral